This 274-nucleotide ribosomal RNA is filed under the name uncultured bacterium. Its description in RNAcentral is "partial 16S ribosomal RNA". It matches the Rfam family "Bacterial small subunit ribosomal RNA", at positions 523 to 796 of the family's 1533-position model. The record is from RNAcentral.
AUACGGAGGGUGCAAGCGUUACUCGGAAUCACUGGGCGUAAAGCGCGCGCAGGCGGUCUUUUAAGUUGGAUGUGGAAGCCUACGGCUCAACCGUAGAACUGCAUCCAAAACUAUUAGACUAGAGUGUGGGAGAGGAAGAUGGAAUUAGUUGUGUAGGGGUAAAAUCCGUAGAGAUAACUAGGAAUACCAAAAGCGAAGGCAAUCUUCUGGAACACUACUGACGCUGAGGCGCGAAAGCGUGGGGAGCAAACAGGAUUAGAAACCCCAGUAGUCC